This 32-nucleotide non-coding RNA is filed under the name Mus musculus (house mouse). The record is from RNAcentral. Lineage: Eukaryota; Metazoa; Chordata; Mammalia; Rodentia; Muridae.
UGAAAGAAAGGUGCUUAAGCCAGCAGGGCUCC